UGGAGUAAUGUCCAAUACAGGCAUCUGAUGUCUGAUGGUGAAGAUGGUGUACGGUGGUGUAUGAUGGUUGAAGUGUGUCAGAUGGUUGUCAGAUGGUGUAUGAUGGUGUAUGAUGGUCGAAGUGUGUCAGAUGGUUGUCAGAUGGUGUAUGAUGGUGUAUGAUGGUCGAAGUGUGUCAGAUGGUUGUCGGAUGGUGUAUGAUGGUGUAGGGUGGUUAUACAGGAAAGGGUUGUCAGAUGGUGAAGAUGGUACAGAUGGUGUAUGAUGGUCGAAGUAUGUCAGAUGGUUGUCAGAUGGUGUAUGAUGGUGUAUGAUGGUCGAAGUGUGUCAGAUGGUGUAUGAUGGUGUAUGAUGGUCGAAGUGUGUCAGAUGGUUGUCAGAUGGUGUAUGAUGGUGUAUGAUGGUCGAAGUGUGUCAGAUGGUUGUCAGAUGGUGUAUGAUGGUGUAUGAUGGUCGAAGUGCGUCAGAUGGUUGUCGGAUGGUGUAUGA
Molecule: non-coding RNA, 489 nt
Organism: Paramuricea clavata
Lineage: Eukaryota; Metazoa; Cnidaria; Anthozoa; Malacalcyonacea; Plexauridae
Source: the annotation of a GenBank genome assembly